Non-coding RNA from Pseudomonas taeanensis MS-3, 78 nucleotides. The record is from Rfam. NCBI's taxonomy places the organism in Bacteria, Pseudomonadati, Pseudomonadota, Gammaproteobacteria, Pseudomonadales, Pseudomonadaceae.
UUGAGCCGUAUGCGGUGAAAGUCGCACGUACGGUUCUUAGGGGGCCCUAGGCCAGCAAUGGCCUGGGGGCUACCCGAC